This 429-nucleotide ribosomal RNA is filed under the name Chloroflexota bacterium. RNAcentral describes it as "Chloroflexi bacterium partial 16S ribosomal RNA". It matches the Rfam family "Bacterial small subunit ribosomal RNA", at positions 355 to 776 of the family's 1533-position model. Lineage: Bacteria; Bacillati; Chloroflexota. The record is from RNAcentral.
UGGGGAAUAUUGCACAAUGGGCGCAAGCCUGAUGCAGCCAUGCCGCGUGUAUGAAGAAGGCCUUCGGGUUGUAAAGUACUUUCAGCGGGGAGGAAGGGAGUAAAGUUAAUACCUUUACUCAUUGACGUUACCCGCAGAAGAAGCACCGGCUAACUCCGUGCCAGCAGCCGCGGUAAUACGGAGGGUGCAAGCGUUAAUCGGAAUUACUGGGCGUAAAGCGCACGCAGGCGGUUUGUUAAGUCAGAUGUGAAAUCCCCGGGCUCAACCUGGGAACUGCAUCUGAUACUGGCAAGCUGGAGUCUCGUAGAGGGGGGUAGAAUUCCAGGUGUAGCGGUGAAAUGCGUAGAGAUCUGGAGGAAUACCGGUGGCGAAGGCGGCCCCCUGGACGAAGACUGACGCUCAGGUGCGAAAGCGUGGGGAGCAAACAGG